UUUUUUUUUUUUUUUUUUUUUUUGUAAAGACUUUUAUUUUCUAUUCCUACUGAGAAUUUUGGUCACAGGCAUCCAGCAGGGAUGUGGAUGUGGAGGGGAAGUUUCUCCUCAACUUUCCCCUGAUGUCCCCUUCUGGGUGCGGGAGAAAGGCAGGCAGGCAGCAAGGAUGGCACUGGCAGGAAGCCUAGGCAGGACGACUCUGAGAGGGAAGUCGUUUGGGUUUCCUCUCCAGCGCCGAGUGAGAACAUUCAGUCAAGAAAAGAGAUUUGCCUCGACUCAGCCCCACCGGUUUAGCCCCAGGAACCUGCAAUCCAGUCUCUUCUUGUGUGUGUGUGUGUGUGUGUGUGUGUGUGUGCGCGCAUGUCUUUUUAGGGCUGUACCCACAGCAUGUGGAGGUUCCCAGGCUAGGGGUCAAAGCCGAGCCACAGCCGCCGGCCUGCACCACAGCCACAGUGACGCGGAAUCCUUAUCGCGCUGAGUGAGGUCAGGGAUGGGAUCCGCAUCCACAUGGGUGCUAGUCGGAGUCCUUUCCCCUGAGCCGCCGUGGGAGCUCCCUCUAUUAUUAUUAUUUUUUAGCUUAUAAGUCUCUGUCAUCCCAGUGACACCGCGGGGCUUCCUUCUAUCUCCCUUGCUCUUUUGGCUCAUCACGUAGAAACCUCGGCCUUUUGGAAAUACAGAGCAGAGAAAUUGUUCCUCUUCUCACCAUUUUCUUCUCACGUCUCGCUCUGGUCUGAAUGUUUGUGUUUCUGCCACAGUCACAUGUUCAAGUCCUAAUGUCCAGUGAGACGGUAUGAGGAGGGUGGGUCUUGGGAGUUCAUCGACCCCAGUAAUGAGGUGACCGUCCUUCUAAAAGAGGCUGAGUGAGAGCUUCCCGGCCCCUUUCCCACGUGAGGAUGCAGCGAGAGGGCCCUCACCCGACCAUGCUGGCCCCUGAUCUUGGACUUCCAGUCUCCAGAACUGUGGUAAAUGAAUGACUGUUGUUUAUAGGCUGUGCUACGGCAGCCCGAAUGGACUAAGACACCUCUCCUAAUUUAUCUUGUUAGAAGGAUGAACAACAUAUUUGGCUCGGCCUCGGCGCUUUCCUCCAGUGAAAUAUUCAAAUGUAGUGUGAGUGUCUGCUUGGAUUAUGAUGAUGUCAAGUAUAAUUUAUUUCUUAGUCUAGUUUGAGUUAUAGAAGCUCAGAGAGCAUCCUCGAUGCAAAGGAACUGAAUUUUGUGUAACACCCAAGUUUCAAAAAUUUUAGCUUAGACUUCACUGGACCCUCCAUGAUAAUUUCUUUUCUGUUUCAUAGCGUGUAAAAGAUGCAGCCAUUUCCCCAUCCCUGGAUGACACGGAAUGGUAUCAGCGACCACCUCAGGCUUCUUUAGACUUUGAUUUACCUCAAAGCGUGGUUUUGGGUGUUUGCAGGAUCACGUUGUUUUCCGGGUCCUUGUAAAUUGAAUGAAUCGGACUAGAUCAUUUUCCGUCUUGUUCUACAUUCUAAUUUUUAGCUAAAUAUAACAUUCCUUUAAGGGGUCCAGCCCCCCACCCCUUAUGAUGUGUGCCAGCUCUUUGAGGGAUGGGGGUGAGGGUUCUUGAAGCCCUUCCGCUCUUUGUAGCCUUGCCCACAACAGGUGACCCAUUCUCUCUGCAGGGCGAGCCCUUCCUCUCUCAAUUUGACACGGCAGCCUUAGCCUCUGAAACUGUUUCACGCAGUUGUCGGCUAGUGCAGAAGCAAACAGGGAUUCGUCUCCAGAUUCUCCAAAUCUCCUUGCUCUUCCACUGAAACCGUCUCUGAUCAGGCACCCACGACUUUUCGACUUCCUUUACUUAAUUAGAACAGCAAAUAUCACUGCACCCAUCCCUUCUUCCUCAGGCUCGUAAAACCACUGGGGCACUGGAAGGGGAAAAACAAAUCAGAGACCUCUUUCUCAAUUCACCACCGUUUUUGUGAAUAUUAAUGAAGCAGCAUGAAAACGCUGCUGAAAGAGAAAACAAGAAAGCAGCCCUGGGUACCAGGGAAGCAGAGAUGCCUCCUUGUCAGCAGGUAACUCUCCUGCGAGUGGGUCUGCUGACUUCAAAAGUGAGGAGAGGUAUUUCUUGAGAUUUGGUUUCCUCUCUCAUCAUAUCUGUAGGAAUCCCAAGUUCCACGAUGGAAUCGUCCUGGCAUAUGCUUUCUUUUUCACUGUUUUGAAACUGAAAGAGGAAAGCUGCAUGGCCUCGCACAGUGUCCGCACAGCAUGCCCACGGCUGCAGCUGAGUCCUGAAAGACGUUGCGGGUUGUGACAUUCCCCUAAAUGUGCUGAGCUUUCUUUAACCUUUCAUAAAACAUUGUGAUCUUUAUGGACUGUAUCAUAUUGUGCAGUAAUGUGCUUUAUUGUCCACAGAAUAAGCUUUUCUUAAAGAUAAUUGGAAAGCUGGAAAUGGCUGCUAUCGGCUGAUUUUUUAAAAAUACAUUAUUUCUGAAAUGGGGCUGGUGUAAUAAUGACCCUAUCUGUUCAAGAUUUAAGAUUUGUCUUGGCAGAGAAAAUUGAUCCAUUUCACCUUUGUCUAAUGGAAAUUUUUAUCUAGGAUUAUCUGUUUAUGUAAAUGAAUGUUCCUCUGAAAAGGGAACUUGAGGGGCUGUAAAUCUUGGUGACACUUCAGUUUCAUAGGGGAGAAAUUGGAAAGGAUCCUAGUAUUUAUCUGCCUGAAAUUGGUUAUAAAAACAAAAUUAUCUUCGUGUACCUGCAACAUCUGAUGUUUCCUAGAAUUUCAUUACGUUUUUGAAUAAUUCAAUGCAGUGGUAAGAAUGGUGUUUCUAUAUUGCCUCAUUCAGAAGUUGUUUUUACUUUUUCUAUUUUCCAGUUGGUUUCUAAUGAUGACAUGAAAAAAGAAAUGAAACCCUUUUGCUUACCCACCUUUUAAGGAUGAGAUUUUUUUCCUACACAAUCUUAAUUGUCUUCUGCUAUUGUAGGCUCUUUGUUUGCAAUUGCAUGAAACGUGUUGGCAGAAGAGCCAUCAUUUCUCUUUUUAAAAAACUGUGGCUCACAUGAAUUCUGAUCUGUUGCCCAAAUUCUGAGGUUAGUAUCAAAACUGCUCUAUGUUAAACAAAGUAUUUUGGUUUUUCAAAGUAAUUUUUGAGCCAAGCUUACUCUAUAGUAUUUAGAAGGUGGCCAGGUGAUAACCUUGAUAAGUCAUCAGUGUUAGGACAAAAUCUUUUUUCCUCAACUUGAAGGAAAUUUGGAGAGUGAGAUUAACUCAUUUAAAUGUCAGUUCAUCAGAGAAAAAUGAAGGGAGGUUAAAAUUUUAAUUGCUUUAAUAUUUUUAAAAGAAAUGCAUUAUUUCUUUAAGAGGCUACAAACUUUAAUUAUCUGGUAGUUUUCAGGAUUACACUGUUUUUAUGUUUCUCUUGUAGCGACUUGCUUGGGAGUUUUUCUCCUUUAGAAAAUAUUUGAGGAGUUCCCUUUAUGCCGCAGUGGUAAUGAACCUGACUAGUAUCCAGGAGAACACAGCUUUGAUCCUUGGCCUUGCUCGGUGGGUUAAGGAUCCGGUGUUGUCGUGAGGUCUGGUGUGGCUUGCAGAUGCGGCUCAGAUCCUGCGUUGCUGUGGCUGUGGUGCAGGCAGGCAGCUGUAGCACUGAUUUGACCCCUAGCCUGGGAACUUCCAUAUGCCACAGGUGUGGCCCUAAAAAGACAGACAAAAUUUUUUUGGAGU
This 3675-nucleotide long non-coding RNA is filed under the name Sus scrofa (pig). RNAcentral describes it as "lncRNA (ENSSSCG00000054321.1)". The record is from RNAcentral. Lineage: Eukaryota; Metazoa; Chordata; Mammalia; Artiodactyla; Suidae.